CAGUAGCCACGGGAAUACGAAGGGUGCAAGCGUUAAUCGGAAUUACUGGGCGUAAAGGGUGCGUAGGCGGUGAGUUAAGUCUGUUGUGAAAUCCCCGGGCUCAACCUGGGAAUGGCAAUGGAUACUGGCUCGCUAGAGUGUGAUAGAGGAUGGUGGAAUUCCCGGUGUAGCGGUGAAAUGCGUAGAGAUCGGGAGGAACAUCAGUGGCGAAGGCGGCCAUCUGGAUCCACACUGACGCUGAAGCACGAAAGCGUGGGGAGCAAAUGGGAUUAGAUACCCGCGUAGUCCCUGUCUCUUAUAC
RNAcentral lists this ribosomal RNA (301 nucleotides) under uncultured bacterium. RNAcentral describes it as "partial 16S ribosomal RNA". It matches the Rfam family "Bacterial small subunit ribosomal RNA", at positions 509 to 807 of the family's 1533-position model. The record is from RNAcentral.